This 349-nucleotide long non-coding RNA is filed under the name Leptinotarsa decemlineata (Colorado potato beetle). RNAcentral describes it as "uncharacterized LOC111514341, transcript variant X2". Lineage: Eukaryota; Metazoa; Arthropoda; Insecta; Coleoptera; Chrysomelidae. The record is from RNAcentral.
AUUUCCAUUAGUCAUUCGUAAGGUGGAAACUAUAAACCUUCAUUUCUUGUAAACAAUUACGUUUUAUAUACGUUGGCAAUAACAAGCAGAUAGUACUCGUAAGAGUAGCAUCAUCAAUUCAAACACAUAUACCUAUCCAAGAUACCGACGACAAUUUGAUAAGAUAUGCAAAUAUUCAACGCAUAUAACAUUCCAUUAUGAGUAAAGAUAGGUUAGGUGAAUUGUUGAAGGUUAGAAAUAAAAGUGAAGUCAACAUAGAAGUCGAAAAUGUACCGACGACAAACGGAGACGUUAAUUUGAAAAAAACAUUCGAGAGAGCUGAGGUGAUAGGCCAAUGGAUAGAGCGGGU